Molecule: long non-coding RNA, 332 nt
Filed under: Cairina moschata (Muscovy duck)
Lineage: Eukaryota; Metazoa; Chordata; Aves; Anseriformes; Anatidae
Description: domestica (muscovy Duck (domestic type)) lncRNA (ENSCMMG00000016012.1)
Source: RNAcentral
GCUGUUCCUAGACAUUUCACAACUAGAGGGAAUUCUCCUCAUUAGUCCCCCAAGGAACUGUUUCCUUCUUACCCACAGUUUUGCAGUUGUAGUAAUAGAAGACAGUGGCCUGCCCUGCCUCCUUGAAUUUCUUCAGAUACCCGCACGGUAUCUCUUCCAGAAACAUGCUGGAAUAAAUCAUUGGAAAGUGAUGAAGAAAUGGCUGUAUCUCAUAGAGAAUGGGAGGAGUUUUGCAGAAAAUGGCUGGAGAAAGGUCAAAUUUGUGAGUAUUGUAUAUUGUGAAAUGUACAUUGUGAAACUAAUGAAAAACUUGUGAAAUUAGCUUUUACUGA